GGGACUUCUAAUACCCCAACACUACAAAGCUUUAGAUUUUCAGUAUUCGUAAGGAAAGGUGUGAUACCUUUCCUCACUCAUCACCAGGGUCACAGCCAACAGCCCUAUAACAAAAGACAGGUUAACAAGAGAAAAGAACGACAAAUUUAUUUAAUCAAAGUUUAACACGACAUAGGCGCCUUCAGAAAUGAAGACCUCAAGCCCCAAGGAAAACUGUCUAUUUUUAUGCUUCACUUCGAUGAAGAAUGGACAGGAAGGUUUUCUUCUUGGGGAAGUAAAAGGUGAAGCCAAGAACAGCAUUACUGAUUCCCAAAUGGAUGAUGUUGAAGUUGUUUAUACAAUUGACAUUCAGAAAUAUAUUCCAUGCUAUCAGCUUUUUAGCUUUUAUAAUUCUUCAGGCGAAGUAAAUGAGCAAGCACUGAAGAAAAUAUUAUCAAAUGUCAAAAAGAAUGUGGUAGGUUGGUACAAAUUCCGUCGUCAUUCAGAUCAGAUCAUGACGUUUAGAGAGAGGCUGCUUCACAAAAACUUGCAGGAGCAUUUUUCAAACCAAGACCUUGUUUUUCUGCUAUUAACACCAAGUAUAAUAACAGAAAGCUGCUCUACUCAUCGACUGGAACAUUCCUUAUAUAAACCUCAAAAAGGACUUUUUCACAGGGUACCUUUAGUGGUUGCCAAUCUGGGCAUGUCUGAACAACUGGGUUAUAAAACUGUAUCAGGUUCCUGUAUGUCCACUGGUUUUAGCCGAGCAGUACAAACACACAGGUAAGAUU
RNAcentral lists this long non-coding RNA (770 nucleotides) under Homo sapiens (human). RNAcentral's name for it is "non-protein coding lnc-ABRAXAS1-2:1". The record is from RNAcentral. Lineage: Eukaryota; Metazoa; Chordata; Mammalia; Primates; Hominidae.